AGCAGCCGCGGUAAUUCCAGCUCCAAUAGCGUAUAUUAAAGUUGUUGCAGUUAAAAAGCUCGUAGUUGAAUUUCGGGAUCAGUGGGUCGGUCGUGCCACUGGUAUGCACUGGCCCUACUGGUUCCUCCUUCUUGAAGAACUGUAAUGCCAUUAAUUUGGUGUUGCAGGGAAACAGGACUGUUACUUUGAAAAAAUUAGAGUGUUUAAAGCAGGCAAUCGCUUGAAUACAUUAGCAUGGAAUAAUGAAAUAGGACGAUCGAUCCUAUUUUGUUGGUUUCUAGGAUUGACGUAAUGAUUAAUAGGGAUAGUUGGGGGCAUUAGUAUUCAAUUGUCAGAGGUGAAAUUCUUGGAUUUAUUGAAGACUAACUACUGCGAAAGCAUUUGCCAAGGAUGUUUUCAUUAAUCAAGAACGAAAGUUAGGGGAUCGAAGACGAUCAGAUACCGUCGUAGUCUUAACCAUAAACUAUGCCGACUAGGAUCGGAUGAUGUUAAUUUUUAAUGACUCAUUCGGCGCUUAAC
RNAcentral lists this ribosomal RNA (519 nucleotides) under uncultured Glomus. RNAcentral describes it as "SSU rRNA". It matches the Rfam family "Eukaryotic small subunit ribosomal RNA", at positions 569 to 1091 of the family's 1831-position model. The record is from RNAcentral. Lineage: Eukaryota; Fungi; Glomeromycota; Glomeromycetes; Glomerales; Glomeraceae.